CAGGGAUUGCCCUAGUAACGGCGAGUGAAGCGGCAACAGCUCAAAUUUGAAAUCUGGCGUCUUUGGCGUCCGAGUUGUAAUUUGCAGAGGGCGCUUUGGCAUUGGCAGCGGUCCAAGUUCCUUGGAACAGGACGUCACAGAGGGUGAGAAUCCCGUACGUGGUCGCUAGCCUUUACCGUGUAAAGCCCCUUCGACGAGUCGAGUUGUUUGGGAAUGCAGCUCUAAAUGGGAGGUAAAUUUCUUCUAAAGCUAAAUACUGGCCAGAGACCGAUAGCGCACAAGUAGAGUGAUCGAAAGAUGAAAAGCACUUUGGAAAGAGAGUUAAAAAGCACGUGAAAUUGUUGAAAGGGAAGCGCUUGCAGCCAGACUUGCCUGUAGUUGCUCAUCCGGGUUUCUACCCGGUGCACUCUUCUAUAGGCAGGCCAGCAUCAGUUUGGGCGGUUGGAUAAAGGUCUCUGUCAUGUACCUCUCUUCGGGGAGAACUUAUAGGGGAGACGACAUGCAACCAGCCUGGACUGAGGUCCGCGCAUCUGCUAGGAUGCUGGCGUAAUGGCUGUAAGCGGCCCGUCUUGAAACACGGACCAAGGAGUCUAACAUCUAUGCGAGUGUUUGGGUGUCAAGCCCGAGCGCGUAAUGAAAGUGAACGGAGGUGGGAACCUUUCGGGGUGCACCAUCGACCGAUCCUGAUGUCUUCGGAUGGAUUUGAGUAAGAGCAUAGCUGUUGGGACCCGAAAGAUGGUGAACUAUGCUUGAAUAGGGUGAAGCCAGAGGAAACUCUGGUGGAGGCUCGCAGCGGUUCUGACGUGCAAAUCGAUCGUCAAAUUUGGGCAUAGGGGCGAAAGACUAAUCG
Molecule: ribosomal RNA, 850 nt
Filed under: Ascochyta syringae
Lineage: Eukaryota; Fungi; Ascomycota; Dothideomycetes; Pleosporales; Didymellaceae
Description: partial large subunit ribosomal RNA
Rfam family: Eukaryotic large subunit ribosomal RNA
Source: RNAcentral